This 201-nucleotide ribosomal RNA is filed under the name uncultured bacterium. Its description in RNAcentral is "partial 16S ribosomal RNA". It matches the Rfam family "Bacterial small subunit ribosomal RNA", at positions 495 to 696 of the family's 1533-position model. The record is from RNAcentral.
AUAUCGCGAGGUGUCAGCAGCCGCGGUAAUACGUAGGGUGCAAGCGUUAAUCGGAAUUACUGGGCGUAAAGCGUGCGCAGGCGGUUAUAUAAGACAGAUGUGAAAUCCCCGGGCUCAACCUGGGAACUGCAUUUGUGACUGUAUAGCUAGAGUACGGUAGAGGGGAUGGAAUUCCGCGUGUAGCAGUGAAAUGCGUAGAUA